UAGGGAAUCUUCGGCAAUGGGGGGAACCCUGACCGAGCAACGCCGCGUGAGUGAAGAAGGUUUUCGGAUCGUAAAGCUCUGUUGUUAAGGAAGAACGAGUGUGAGAAUGGAAAGUUCAUGCUGUGACGGUACUUAACCAGAAAGGGACGGCUAACUACGUGCCAGCAGCCGCGGUAAUACGUAGGUCCCGAGCGUUGUCCGGAUUUAUUGGGCGUAAAGCGAGCGCAGGCGGUUAGAAAAGUCUGAAGUGAAAGCCCCCGGCUCAACCGGGGAGGGUCAUUGGAAACUGGUUGACUUGAGUGCAGAAGAGGAGAGUGGAAUUCCAUGUGUAGCGGUGAAAUGCGUAGAUAUAUGGAGGAACACCAGUGGCGAAGGCGACUCUCUGGUCUGUAACUGACGCAGAGGCUCGAAAGCGUGGGUAGCAAACAGG
This 430-nucleotide ribosomal RNA is filed under the name Bacteroidota bacterium. Its description in RNAcentral is "Bacteroidetes bacterium partial 16S ribosomal RNA". It matches the Rfam family "Bacterial small subunit ribosomal RNA", at positions 355 to 776 of the family's 1533-position model. The record is from RNAcentral. Lineage: Bacteria; Pseudomonadati; Bacteroidota.